Molecule: ribosomal RNA, 468 nt
Filed under: uncultured bacterium
Lineage: Bacteria
Description: partial 16S ribosomal RNA
Rfam family: Bacterial small subunit ribosomal RNA
Source: RNAcentral
GACGAACGCUGGCGGCGUGCUUAACACAUGCAAGUCGAACGGAAAGGCCCUGCUUUUGUGGGGUGCUCGAGUGGCGAACGGGUGAGUAACACGUGAGUAACCUGCCCUUGACUUUGGGAUAACUUCAGGAAACUGGGGCUAAUACCGGAUAGGAGCUCCUGCUGCAUAGUGGGGGUUGGAAAGUUUCGGCGGUUGGGGAUGGACUCGCGGCUUAUCAGCUUGUUGGUGGGGUAGUGGCUUACCAAGGCUUAGACGGGUAGCCGGCCUGAGAGGGUGACCGGCCACAUUGGGACUGAGAUACGGCCCAGACUCCUACGGGAGGCAGCAGUGGGGAAUAUUGCACAAUGGGCGGAAGCCUGAUGCAGCAACGCCGCGUGCGGGAUGACGGCCUUCGGGUUGUAAACCGCUUUCGCCUGUGACGAAGCGUGAGUGACGGUAAUGGGUAAAGAAGCACCGGCUAACUACGUG